This 253-nucleotide ribosomal RNA is filed under the name uncultured bacterium. RNAcentral's name for it is "partial 16S ribosomal RNA". It matches the Rfam family "Bacterial small subunit ribosomal RNA", at positions 524 to 776 of the family's 1533-position model. The record is from RNAcentral.
UACGGAGGGUGCAAGCGUUAUCCGGAUUCACUGGGUUUAAAGGGUGCGUAGGUGGGCAGGUAAGCCCGUGGUGAAAUCUCUGAGCUUAACUCAGAAACUGCCGUGGAUACUAUUUGUCUUGAAUAUUGUGGAGGUGAGCGGAAUAUGUCAUGUAGCGGUGAAAUGCUUAGAUAUGACAUAGAACACCAAUUGCGAAGGCAGCUCACUACACAAUUAUUGACGCUGAGGCACGAAAGCGUGGGGAUCAAACAGG